UACAGAGACUGCGAGCGUUAUUCGGAUUCACUGGGCGUAAAGGGUGCGCAGGCGGCCAAGUGUGUGAGGCGUGAAAGCCCGGGGCUUAACCCCGGAAUUGCACCUCAAACUACAUGGCUAGAGCAUUGGAGAGGGUCGCGGAAUUCCCGGUGUAGAGGUGAAAUUCGUAGAUAUCGGGAGGAACACCGGUGGCGAAGGCGGCGACCUGGGUAGAUACUGACGCUGAGGCGCGAAAGCGUGGGGAGCAAACAGG
Molecule: ribosomal RNA, 253 nt
Filed under: uncultured bacterium
Lineage: Bacteria
Description: partial 16S ribosomal RNA
Rfam family: Bacterial small subunit ribosomal RNA
Source: RNAcentral